RNAcentral lists this ribosomal RNA (517 nucleotides) under Candidatus Magasanikbacteria bacterium GW2011_GWA2_40_10. RNAcentral's name for it is "bacterial SSU rRNA". The stretch from base 155 to 517 matches the Rfam family "Bacterial small subunit ribosomal RNA", at positions 1 to 375 of the family's 1533-position model. The record is from RNAcentral. Lineage: Bacteria; Candidatus Magasanikiibacteriota.
CGGGCGUUAUGAAGGCAUUGAUGAAAGAGUUAAAACAGCUUUGCGCGCCGAAGAAAUUUCUAUUGGUCCGUUUGUUUUAACUGACGGCGAUGUUGCGGCUAUGGCAAUUAUUUCAGCGGUGGCGCGACUGAUUCCCGGAGUCAUUAGGCCAGAAUCGUUUAAGAGUUUGAUCCUAGCUCAGGAUGAACGCUGGCGGCGUGUUUAAGGCAUGCAAGUCGUACGUAGCCCGGUUUAGUGGCAAACGGGUGAGUAACACACUGGUAACCUACCUUUGAGACGAGGAUAGCUCUCCGAAAGGAGAAUUAAUACUCGAUGGAAAUGCGGGGACAUAAGUCAUUCGUAUUUAAAGUCGCAAGACGCUCAAAGAGGGGCCUAUGUCUGAUUAGCUAGUUGGUGAGGUAAUGGCCCACCAAGGCUUCGAUCAGUAGCAGGCGUGAGAGCGUGACCUGCCUCACUGGGACUGAGACACUGCCCAGACUCCUACGGGAGGCUGCAGUCAAGAAUCUUCCACAAUGGG